Small nucleolar RNA from Mesocricetus auratus (golden hamster), 78 nucleotides. Its record names the gene SNORD26. It matches the Rfam family "Small nucleolar RNA SNORD26". Rfam says of the family: U26 is a member of the C/D class of snoRNA which contain the C (UGAUGA) and D (CUGA) box motifs. U26 is encoded within the U22 snoRNA host gene (UHG) in mammals and is thought to act as a 2'-O-ribose methylation guide for ribosomal RNA. Lineage: Eukaryota; Metazoa; Chordata; Mammalia; Rodentia; Cricetidae. The record is from Ensembl.
CUGCAGGGAUGAUUUAGAUCCUGAACUCUCUCUUUCUGAUGCUAUAGUGGAGAAGACAGGAAAAUGUCUCUGAGUAGC